Molecule: long non-coding RNA, 664 nt
Organism: Polypterus senegalus (gray bichir)
Lineage: Eukaryota; Metazoa; Chordata; Cladistia; Polypteriformes; Polypteridae
Exons: 3
Source: RefSeq, a predicted model, not a curated record
CCCGACAAAACCGCGACCGACCAAUGAGCGCCGACAAAGCCGCUAACUGGUUUUCGACAAAUGCACACCGACAAAAUCACCACGACAAAAUUGCGAGAGAGGCCAAGAGAGUGGGAGCACAAGGUUUGUGUACGAUACAGACUCACCAGAUAGAAGAGGAUUUAUAUUACAAUCAGCAGAAACCCUCGGACUACAGACCGCUGAAUUCCAUUGAACCAUAAAACCAAUUCACUGCACCAGGCGUGUCAUGUUAAAGUGGAUGCCUCAGAGGAUGGAUGGAUGAAAGGGUGUCCCAUUCCUUACCCAGCUAGGAUACCAUAAUGGAAGGAUGGAAUUAAUGGGGUCAAUUACCAUCUGGGACAUCUUAUGAUUCCUGUCCUGAUUGCGAUGUCCGAAGGCAACUGGAACUGGCAAGAGAGGAUGAAAGUGAGCAGGUCAUCCCCCAUUGCACUAGGAGGUAGUGUCCUUGCUGCUGGGGGAGGACCUCCGUGACUUCUUUAUAACCUGAUAGUACAUCCAACUGGCUGCAUCACCGAAACUGCUUUAAAAGGAAUCCAGUGCCAUAGCUCUGGGAGUCAGAGUCGGGAGGCAGCAGGCAAAAGUCAAUGGAGGUGAGAAAAAGAAAAAAAGAAAGCACUUAAAGUCGGUGUUUUGUCUGGAUUAA